AUUGAACGCUGGCGGCAUGCCUAACACAUGCAAGUCGAACGGAGGUAGGGGCAACUCUACUUCAGUGGCGGACGGGUGAGGAAUGCGUCGGAAUCUACCCUAUGGUGGGGGAUAACACAGGGAAACUUGUGCUAAUACCGCAUAAUGUCGAGAGACCAAAGCAGGGGACCGCAAGGCCUUGCGCGAUAGGAUGAGCCGACGCCCGAUUAGCUAGUUGGUAGGGUAAAGGCCUACCAAGGCGACGAUCGGUAGCUGGUCUGAGAGGAUGAUCAGCCACACUGGGACUGAGACACGGCCCAGACUCCUACGGGAGGCAGCAGUGGGGAAUAUUGGACAAUGGGCGCAAGCCUGAUCCAGCAAUGCCGCGUGUGUGAAGAAGGCCUGCGGGUUGUAAAGCACUUUUGUUCGGGAAGAAAUCAUGCUGGUUAAUACCUGGUAUGGAUGACGGUACCGAAAGAAUAAGCACCGGCUAACUUCGUGCCAGCAGCC
RNAcentral lists this ribosomal RNA (489 nucleotides) under uncultured bacterium. Its description in RNAcentral is "bacterial SSU rRNA". It matches the Rfam family "Bacterial small subunit ribosomal RNA", at positions 30 to 516 of the family's 1533-position model. The record is from RNAcentral.